GCUCUGCAAGUUUUCUGAUCUGUGAAAUGGACAUUAUAACAUCUGCUUUCUGAGGUUGUUGUAGGAGUUAUGUAAGAUAAUACAAAUGAAAGGCUUAGUGCUCGUGUGGGAUACAUCAGAAGCUUCAAUGGUCAUGUUGGUAUUUAAGAAGACAGAGACAAGUGCAGCAUAGGUGAACAGAUGCUAACCAGGAUUACAAGAGACAGUUUUGGGGAAACCAUCAUAUCCAUUUGAUCCUAUUUUCUCUAUCCCCUUCUGUAUUUGUCUCCACAGAACAUGUUGGUAAUGGUAAGUUUCAAUAAAAUAUUUUCUAGAGACAAACAUAUUUAGUCUUUUGUGGAGAGGCCUUACGCCCUAAUAAUACAUAUGAGUCAGAUCAGGUCUAGAAGUUCUGUUGUCUUCUUCAGAUUUUCAUGGUUUUUUUUUUUUUUCCCUUGUUUGCAAAUAAAAUGGAAAAAAAUUGCUCAUUUAUUUUCAGGAAAUAAAAACAUGUAAUACCAAAGAAAAUUAGAAGGUGAACCUCCAGAAUAACAUGAUUCUUCAGAAAAUACAAUCCAAUUAUAGGAGACAGGUAAUAUCCAGUUCUUUUUUUGGUUGACCUAUAAUAAAUGCAGAUUGCAUAGGUAUUUAACACAGAAUGGUAUUUCAAACCCAAAUGGUGACUAUUAUUUCCAUUAUCAGGGAAAAAAGUAAUGUUAAAGUAGAAAUUAGUAUUUUGAACUUCUAAAUGGGAAAAAUUUUUUUUGAACAAAACUACCUCAAAAACUAUAACUCUCUUCCAUCUCAAGUUAGAGGAUUGUUCUUGCAGCAUAGAUAUUUGUGGAUUGAUGUAUUGGGGAAGUUAAUGAUGCUGAAGCUCAAACUCCAAUACUUUGGCCACCUGAUGUGAAGAACUGACUCAUUGGAAAAGACCCUGAUGCUGGGAGAGAUUGAAGGCAGGAGGAGAAGGGGAUGACAGAGGAUGAGAUGGUUGGAUGACAUCACUGGCAUGAUGGACAUGAGUUUGAGUAGGCUCCUGGAGUUGGUGAUGGACAGGGAAACCUGGCGUACUGAAGUCCAUGCGGUUGCAGAGUCAGACAUGACUGAGUGACUGAACCGAAUGACUUGUUAGCCUCUUCGGUGUUGUUUGGGAGAAUAAUCAAGUAUUCUGAAAUUGUUUCUGAGCUGCCCACACUGCAGGAUGCUCUGUGGAGUUGCCCACAGCAAGAAGCAAUUUGGCUGACCUCUUCUUUGCUGUACACCUGAUUUUCUGCUCCAAACAUAGCACCACAUUUCUGAUGCCCUGGGCAAUGAGUGCAUAUCUCUUCAAGAUGCGCCCCACCGCCUAAAUGAACCUUACAUACCCUGCAUGGCUUCUCUUUUAACCAGGCCAUUCCGAAUGCAUUCUCCAGUGUGAAGAAAGGUCUGUCCAGCUCUUGAAUGUGAUGUAAUAAAAGAACAGAAAUUUAUACUGGUAGGCA
RNAcentral lists this long non-coding RNA (1460 nucleotides) under Bos indicus x Bos taurus (hybrid cattle). Its description in RNAcentral is "lncRNA (ENSBIXG00000026285.1)". Lineage: Eukaryota; Metazoa; Chordata; Mammalia; Artiodactyla; Bovidae. The record is from RNAcentral.